This 565-nucleotide long non-coding RNA is filed under the name Ananas comosus (pineapple). RNAcentral's name for it is "long non-coding RNA (ACOM_LNC005926)". The record is from RNAcentral. Lineage: Eukaryota; Viridiplantae; Streptophyta; Magnoliopsida; Poales; Bromeliaceae.
CCAUUAUGCCCCUAAUUUUGUCCCCUUGAAAUUUUUUAGGAUAAACUUCAAAUACCAUUUUUGUAGUUUCGCACGUUCUUAUUUUAGUAUCAUGUAGUUUAAAGUAUAUCAAGUUUGUGUAACGCCCGAAUAGUCCCACAUCAGAUGGGAUACUGACUUCGAUCAGUUUAUAUGAAGCCUUACACGCUAGUAAUAAUAACAGGAUUUAAACAUUUUGGACCGGUUGUUUGGGCUCAAUGAGUUAUUGUUGCUAGCGGGUCGGAUCGUUGCAGUUAGUGUUCCGUGGUUUUAUUUUUAUCUUUUCGUCGUCAUCUUCUCUAUUAAUAUUUCGUUAAAUUAUAUAAAAAAAACUUCAGAUUUCCCACCUAGGUUUAUUGAAUAUAUUCACUUUAGUACUCCUUAGUUUUAACUUUGUCACUGAUUUAACGAAAAAAAAUUAGUGCAAUCGAUAAUAAAAAAAUAAAAAUAAAACCACAGAACACCAUAUUGAUACACUUUAAAACACAGAAUACUAAAGUGAAAAAAUGUGAAACCACAUAGGUAGUAUUUGAAAUUUUUUCUAUUU